Molecule: ribosomal RNA, 118 nt
Filed under: Pteropus vampyrus (large flying fox)
Lineage: Eukaryota; Metazoa; Chordata; Mammalia; Chiroptera; Pteropodidae
Source: RNAcentral
GUCUACGGCCAUGCCACCAUGAACAAGCCCGAUCCCAUCUGAUCUCAGAAGCUAAGGAGGAUCGGGCCUGGUUAGUAUUGGAUGGGAGACCACCUAGGAAGACCAGACACUGUAGGUG